CAGUCGCCGCGGUAAUACGUAGGUGGCAAGCGUUGUCCGGAAUUAUUGGGCGUAAAGGGCUCGCAGGCGGUUUCUUAAGUCUGAUAAGAAAGCCCCCGGCUCAACCGGGGAGGGUCAUUGGAAACUGGGAAACUUGAGUGCAGAAGAGGAGAGUGGAAUUCCACGUGUAGCGGUGAAAUGCGUAGAGAUGUGGAGGAACACCAGUGGCGAAGGCGACUCUCUGGUCUGUAACUGACGCUGAGGAGCGAAAGCGUGGGGAGCGAACAGGAUUAGAUACCCCCGUAGUCCCUGUCUCUUAUAC
RNAcentral lists this ribosomal RNA (301 nucleotides) under uncultured bacterium. RNAcentral describes it as "partial 16S ribosomal RNA". It matches the Rfam family "Bacterial small subunit ribosomal RNA", at positions 509 to 807 of the family's 1533-position model. The record is from RNAcentral.